Molecule: transfer RNA, 69 nt
Filed under: Marmota monax (woodchuck)
Lineage: Eukaryota; Metazoa; Chordata; Mammalia; Rodentia; Sciuridae
Description: tRNA.Ala
Source: RNAcentral
GGCUGUAGCUCAGUGGCAGAGCGCUUGCCUAGCAUGCAUGAGGCACAGGGUUCGGUCCUCAGCACGACA